RNAcentral lists this ribosomal RNA (2010 nucleotides) under metagenome. RNAcentral's name for it is "bacterial LSU rRNA". It matches the Rfam family "Bacterial large subunit ribosomal RNA", at positions 1 to 2039 of the family's 2925-position model. The record is from RNAcentral.
UCAUGCUAGAAAGAGCGUAUGGUGGAUGCCUUGGCACUAAGAGCCGAUGAAAGACGUGAUAAGCUGCGAAAAGCUUCGGGGAGGAGCAAAUAUCCUUUGAUCCGGAGAUCUCUGAAUGGGGAAACCCACUUGAGCAAACCUCAAGUAUCCUAACGCCAAUACAUAACGUUAGGAGGGGAACCCGGUGAACUGAAACAUCUAAGUAGCCGGAGGAAGAGAAAACAACAUGUGAUUCUGUGAGUAGCGGCGAGCGAAAACGGAAGAGCCCAAACCGGGAUGCGUGCAUCCCGGGGUUCGGACCGCAUAAUUGAUUCAACAAAUUUAGCAGAACGGUUUUGGGAAAGCCGGCCAGAGAGGGUGAAAGCCCCGUAAGCGAAAGAUGAGUUGACAUGGCGGUAUCCAGAGUAGGUCGAGACACGUGGAACCUUGACUGAACAUGCGGGGACCACCCCGUAAGGCUAAAUACUCCUUAGUGACCGAUAGCGCAUAGUACUGUGAAGGAACGGUGAAAAGGACCCCGGGAGGGGAGUGAAACAGAACCUGAAACCAUAUGUUUACAAGCUGUGGAACCAUGUUUUAUGUGGAACCGCGUACUUUUUGUAGAACGGUCCGGCGAGUUGCGCUGGCUGGCGAGGUUAAGCACCAAAGGUGUGGAGCCGAAGGGAAACCAAGUCUUAAUAGGGCGAAUGAGUCAGUCGGAGCAGACCCGAAACCGGGUGAUCUAUCCAUGUCCAGGUUGAAGUUGCCGUAAAAGGCAAUGGAGGACCGAACCCACAUCCGUUGAAAAGGGUGGGGAUGAGGUGUGGAUAGGGGAGAAAUUCCAAUCGAACCCGGAGAUAGCUGGUUCUCCUCGAAAUAGCUUUAGGGCUAGCCUCAUAUAAGUCUUGCGGAGGUAGAGCACUGAAUUUCCUAGGGGGCGUCAAAGCUUACCGAAGAAUAUCAAACUCCGAAUGCCGUGUAGAUGUUGUAUGGGAGUCAGACUGUACGAGAUAAGUUGGACAGUCAAAAGGGAAAGAGCCCAGACCUGCAGCUAAGGCCCCAAAAUGUGUGUUAAGUGGAAAAGGAUGUGGGAUUUCAAAGACAACUAGGAUGUUGGCUUAGAAGCAGCCAUACAUUCAAAGAGUGCGUAAUAGCUCACUAGUCGAGAGGUCCUGCGCCGAAAAUGUCCGGGGCUGAAACACACUGCCGAAGCUCAGGAAUUAACUGAUGUUAAUUGGUAGAGGAGCAUUGUAUACGGGACGAAGCAGUACCGAUAAGGAGCUGUGGACUGUAUAGAAGAGAGAAUGCCGGAAUGAGUAGCGAGAGGAAGGUGAGAAUCCUUCCGGCCGAAUAUCUAAGGUUUCCAGAGUAAAGCUGAUCUGCUCUGGGUAAGUCGGGGCCUAAGGCCAGGUCGAAAGACGUAACCGAUGGACAACAGGUUGAAAUUCCUGUACCUUAAGUAAACAGAACUGUGGGGACACGUGUGGAGAGCACAAGCCGGAAAUGGAAAAGCCGGUGCAAGCGAGGUAGGAGAUGAAUAGGCAAAUCCGUUCAUCAAUCCGAAGACGUGAUGCGGACCGAAUUAAGAGUAGGGAAGUGUGUGAGCCAUGCGUCAAGAAAAGCCGCUAUUGUUUUACUUAAGCCCGUACCGUAAACCGACACAGGUGGAUGAGGAGAGAAUCCUAAGGCCGACGGGAGAAGCAUUGUUAAGGAACUCGGCAAAAUGACUCCGUAACUUCGGGAGAAGGAGUGCCAGCGAGAGCUGGCCGCAGAGAAUUGGCCCAAGCAACUGUUUAGCAAAAACACAGGUCUAUGCAAAACCGUAAGGUGAAGUAUAUGGGCUGACGCCUGCCCGGUGCUGGAAGGUUAAGAGGAGAGGUUAGCGGCAACGCGAAGCUUUGAAUUUAAGCCCCAGUAAACGGCGGCCGUAACUAUAACGGUCCUAAGGUAGCGAAAUUCCUUGUCGGGUAAGUUCCGACCCGCACGAAAGGCGUAAUGAUUUGGGCACUGUCUCAACAAUGCACCCGGUGA